CAGUCGCCGCGGGAAUACGUAGGGUGCAAGCGUUAAUCGGAAUUACUGGGCGUAAAGCGUGCGCAGGCGGUCCGCUAAGACAGAUGUGAAAUCCCCGGGCUUAACCUGGGAACUGCAUUUGUGACUGGCGGGCUAGAGUAUGGCAGAGGGGGGUAGAAUUCCACGUGUAGCAGUGAAAUGCGUAGAGAUGUCGAGGAAUACCGAUGGCGAAGGCAGCCCCCUGGGCCAAUACUGACGCUCAUGCACGAAAGCGUGGGGAGCAAACAGGAUUAGAUACCCGAGUAGUCCCUGUCUCUUAUAC
This 301-nucleotide ribosomal RNA is filed under the name uncultured bacterium. RNAcentral's name for it is "partial 16S ribosomal RNA". It matches the Rfam family "Bacterial small subunit ribosomal RNA", at positions 509 to 807 of the family's 1533-position model. The record is from RNAcentral.